This 441-nucleotide ribosomal RNA is filed under the name uncultured bacterium. RNAcentral describes it as "partial 16S ribosomal RNA". It matches the Rfam family "Bacterial small subunit ribosomal RNA", at positions 338 to 795 of the family's 1533-position model. The record is from RNAcentral.
CCUACGGGUGGCUGCAGUAGGGAAUUUUGCGCAAUGGGCGAAAGCCUGACGCAGCAACGCCGCGUGAUUGAUUAAGCCCUUCGGGGUGUAAAGAUCUGUCAGAGGGGACGAAACUUGACUGUACCCACAGAGGAAGCACCGGCUAACACCGUGCCAGCAGCAGCGGCAAGACGGAGGGUGCAAGCGUUGUCCGGAAUCAUUGGGCGUAAGGGGUUCGUAGGUGGCAUAUUAAGUCUGGUGUUAAAUGCCGAAGCUCAACUUCUGUUCGGCACUGGAUACUGGUAAGCUUGAAUGCGGUAGAGGUAAAGGGAAUUCCUGGUGUAGCGGUGAAAUGCGUAGAUAUCAGGAGGAACAUCGAUGGCGUAGGCGCUUUACUGGGCCGUAAUUGACACUGAGGAACGAAAGCCGGGGUAGCAAAUGGGAUUAGAUACCCUUGUAGUC